UACGGAGGGUGCAAGCGUUAUCCGGAUUCACUGGGUUUAAAGGGUGCGUAGGAGGGCAGGUAAGUCAGUGGUGAAAUCUCCGAGCUUAACUCGGAAACUGCCGUUGAUACUAUCUGUCUUGAAUCCCGUGGAGAUGAGCGGAAUAUGUCAUGUAGCGGUGAAAUGCUUAGAUAUGACAUAGAACACCAAUUGCGAAGGCAGCUCGUUACACGAAGAUUGACUCUGAGGCAUGAAAGCGUGGGGAUCAAACAGG
This 253-nucleotide ribosomal RNA is filed under the name uncultured bacterium. Its description in RNAcentral is "partial 16S ribosomal RNA". It matches the Rfam family "Bacterial small subunit ribosomal RNA", at positions 524 to 776 of the family's 1533-position model. The record is from RNAcentral.